Molecule: long non-coding RNA, 483 nt
Organism: Onychostoma macrolepis
Lineage: Eukaryota; Metazoa; Chordata; Actinopteri; Cypriniformes; Cyprinidae
Exons: 3
Source: RefSeq, a predicted model, not a curated record
UAACGCGUGAUCCUGCAAUAAAAUCAAUCCACAUUUCCGCCGGAUAGGGAAAAAUGCGCAAUUUGUGCGGGUGAGUUAAUUAUGAUCUGCCUCGCCAGUGCCAGCCACGCUCCGGAUUUCUUUCGCAAUUAACCUCUAAUUGCAUCUCGACUCAUCUGCGCGGAUCGACAAAUAAUUAAGCCCCACGCAGCGCGCGCCUUCAUCACCACAGCAUAUGUCUUAAUCAGAGGAGCCAGUCUCGCGCUAAAGAAAGAACCCAAAGAUGAGGGUCAGUCUAGCACCCUAUGCGAGGCCGGAUCCUUAUUGCAGUGUGCCAAUGAGUGAAAUAUAGACACGCUUGAGGCUCAAAUCUGCCAACGGAGGGGAAAAAAGAAAAGCCUAAGAGGACGGGACAAAUCAUAUCAAGAUUCCUUAAGACUCAAUUACAGUGACCGACAUGCAGCCAUGAGCGAUGCUCUUCACAUCCACCUGCCUCAUAACACG